AACAGAUAAAUAAAUUUGGGCACAGAGAGGUUAAAUAUCUUGUUGAAGGUGAAACAGCCAACAAGAAUGGAGCUAGUAUUCAGCCAAGGUGUUUACUGAAGAAUUCACACAUGACAGGAAGCAUUCUUGGUGCUGGGAUGCCUUCUCUUGUGGAAAUGACAGCCUAUUGGUACUACAGGAUUACCUAUGAACUCUGUUUUUAGAAAAAUAUAGAUAUACUUUAGGAGCAGAAAAUGCUGUUUGACUCCACUUAUGGAGGUACCUAGAAUAGUCCAAUUCAUAAAAUCAGAAAGUACACUGGAAGAUGCCAGGGGCCCAGGAGUGAGGGUAGAUGGGAAGGGCAGAUGGGGACUUAGUGUUUAAUGGAGACAGAGUUUCAGUUUAAGCAGGUGAUCAAUGAUGCUGCAAGAUGACUGCAAUUGUGAAUGUACUUAGUGUCACUGAACUGUACAGUUAAAUAUGGUUCGAAUAGUAUGUUUUAUAUUAUAUGACUUCUACCACAAUAAACAUUAAAGAAAUGUGA
Molecule: long non-coding RNA, 523 nt
Organism: Bubalus bubalis (water buffalo)
Lineage: Eukaryota; Metazoa; Chordata; Mammalia; Artiodactyla; Bovidae
Exons: 2
Source: RefSeq, a predicted model, not a curated record